GCUUAAGUGGCUUAAGUGGUUAGAGCGCCUGCCUCGGAUACAGGAGGUCACGGGUUCGAACUUGGCUGAGUCAUCCA
Non-coding RNA from Potamilus streckersoni, 77 nucleotides. NCBI's taxonomy places the organism in Eukaryota, Metazoa, Mollusca, Bivalvia, Unionida, Unionidae. The record is from the annotation of a GenBank genome assembly.